UACGAAGGGUGCAAACGUUGCUCGGAAUUAUUGGGCGUAAAGCGCACGUAGGCGGCUUAGCAAGUUGGAUGUGAAAUCCCUCGGCUCAACCAAAGAAGUGCAUCCAAAACUGCUGAGCUUGAGUACUUAAGAGGAUCGCGGAAUUCCGGGUGUAGCGGUGGAAUGCAUAGAGAUCCGGAAGAACACCGGAGGCGAAGGCGGCUUGCUGGGCAGUUUUGCUGACACUGAGGCGCGACAGCGUGGGGAGCAAACAGG
RNAcentral lists this ribosomal RNA (255 nucleotides) under uncultured bacterium. RNAcentral's name for it is "partial 16S ribosomal RNA". It matches the Rfam family "Bacterial small subunit ribosomal RNA", at positions 524 to 776 of the family's 1533-position model. The record is from RNAcentral.